Molecule: ribosomal RNA, 462 nt
Filed under: Triticum aestivum (bread wheat)
Lineage: Eukaryota; Viridiplantae; Streptophyta; Magnoliopsida; Poales; Poaceae
Description: partial small subunit ribosomal RNA
Source: RNAcentral
AUGUUUGUUGUGAGUUGUUCGUGUAUGCAUCUAUUGGAUGUGGUUGCCACCCGGUGUUCGUUGCCAUUCCAUUCGUACUUGAGAGAGAUAAUGGACGAUGGGGUCAUGCUCGGAGGAGUUGAGCUCGAAUUUGAUGUGCCCGGAAGCGAUUCCGGGAGCAUGAGGAGGUUUUUUUGGGCUCAAGAUGGUGUGGAUUUUUUCUCUCUUUACGAGAAGGCUGCUUUCCAGGCCAUUUGCUUCUUACAGAAUUUGUAUGGGUUUGUGAUUCUGGACUAUAAUUUUGAGUGUAUGUCGACUUACAGGGAGCUUGCUCGCUCUGUAGUUCUUUUAGCUGCAAUGAUGCUUAGGUCUGCGAUGCCUGUUGGUUGUGCCGAUGCCCUUGCUGCUGUGAUUGACCAUGAUGUCCUUUUGCAGCGGCAGAUGUUGCACGCCAGAUUGGUCUCGACGGCGUGCAAUAUUUAG